This 72-nucleotide transfer RNA is filed under the name Portunus trituberculatus (swimming crab). RNAcentral's name for it is "tRNA-Val". It matches the Rfam family "tRNA". Rfam says of the family: Transfer RNA (tRNA) molecules are approximately 80 nucleotides in length. Their secondary structure includes four short double-helical elements and three loops (D, anti-codon, and T loops). The record is from RNAcentral. Lineage: Eukaryota; Metazoa; Arthropoda; Malacostraca; Decapoda; Portunidae.
CACCGCGUAGUGUAGUGGUUAGCACGCUCGACUAACAAUCGAGAGGGCCAGGUUCGAAUCUCGGCGCGGCGA